GAUGAAGAACGUAGCGAAAUGCGAUAAGUAGUGUGAAUUGCAGAAUUCAGUGAAUCAUCGAAUCUUUGAACGCACAUUGCGCCCCAUGGUAUUCCGUGGGGCAUGCCUGUUCGAGCGUCAUUUACCCCCUCAAGCUCCGCUUGGUGUUGGGCGUCUGUCCCGCUUCGCGCGCGGACUCGCCCCAAAGGUAUUGGCAGCGGUCGCGCCAGCUUCUCGCGCAGCACAUUGCGCUUCUCGAGGCACCGGUGGGCCCGCGUCCAUCAAGCUCACCCCCCCAGUUUGACCUCGGAUCAGGUAGGGAUACCCGCUGAACUUAAGCAUAUCAAUAAGCGGAGGA
Molecule: unclassified non-coding RNA, 337 nt
Filed under: soil metagenome
Description: partial contains 5.8S ribosomal RNA, internal transcribed spacer 2, and large subunit ribosomal RNA
Rfam family: 5.8S ribosomal RNA (bases 1-120)
Source: RNAcentral